UUUAUCAGAAAGCGAAAACUAAAACCCGCCACCAUUUAAUUUAAAAGAAAAGGAGGAAAUUCAAUAAUUCUCUAAGAAGAUGAGUCUCCACCAAAUGGCCGUCUCUCACCCUUUUCUUUUAUCUUGUCACUCUGCGUACAAUCUAAACCCUCUUUUCUUCUCCAAACGCAGUCGUUUUCGCUUCCCCCUUUCUCACUCUUGUUCCACCUCCAUAAACCGUCGGAGCUUUACUGUUGCUGCAUCAGAGAAGGGCAUUUCACUUCUCUGGAGCUGGCAAAGUCGUUUGAUUUCACUUCCGAGGAGAGGAUAUACAAUUGGUGGCAUUCUCAAGGCUAUUUCAGACCGAAAUUUGACAGGGGAAGUGAUCCAUUUGUCAUAUCAAUGCCACCUCCUAAUGUUCCUGGCUCUCUGCAUAUGGGACAUGCAAUGUUUGUGACUCUUGAGGAUUUCAUGGUUAGGUACGGAAGAUCAACACUUUGGCUUCCUGGAACUGAUCAUGCCGGUAUUGCAACUCAGUUGGUUGCGGAAAGAAUGUUGACUUCUGAAGGAAUAAAAAGGGUAGAACUGGGUAGAGAUGAAUUUGCAAAACAAGUUUGGAAGUGGAAAGAGAAGUAUGGUGGGACCAUUACUAAUCAGAUUAAGAGACUUGGGGCUUCUUGUGACUGGACUAGGGAAUGUUUCACCCUUGAUGAGCAGCUAAGUCGAGCUGUUAUUGAGGCUUUUGUUAGACUUCAUGAGAAAGGAUUAAUUUAUCAAGGAAGUAGAAUAUUCUGAAGAGCCUGGCACCCUCUAUCAUAUCAAGUAUCGAGUCGCUGGAGGUUCAAGGAGUGGUUUCUUAACAAUAGGAACCACAUGACCUGAAACUUUAUUUGGUGAUGUAGCAAUUACUGUGAAUCCUAAGGAUGAGCGUUAUUCCAAAUAUGUUGGUAAAAUGGCUAUUGUUCCUAUGACUUAUGGUCGUCAUGUUCCUAUUAUCUUUGAUAAGGUA
Molecule: RNA transcript, 988 nt
Organism: Hibiscus syriacus
Lineage: Eukaryota; Viridiplantae; Streptophyta; Magnoliopsida; Malvales; Malvaceae
Gene name: valine--tRNA ligase, chloroplastic/mitochondrial 2-like
Exons: 10
Source: RefSeq, a predicted model, not a curated record